This 329-nucleotide unclassified non-coding RNA is filed under the name soil metagenome. Its description in RNAcentral is "partial contains 5.8S ribosomal RNA, internal transcribed spacer 2, and large subunit ribosomal RNA". The stretch from base 1 to 120 matches the Rfam family "5.8S ribosomal RNA", at positions 35 to 154 of the family's 154-position model. The record is from RNAcentral.
GAUGAAGAACGUAGCGAAAUGCGACAAGUAAUGUGAAUUGCAGAAUUCAGUGAAUCAUCGAAUCUUUGAACGCACAUUGCGCCCCCUGGUAUUCCGGGGGGCAUGCCUGUCCGAGCGUCAUUACAACCCUCAAGCUCAGCUUGGUGUUGGGCCCCGCCGCCCCGGCGGGCCCUAAAGUCAGUGGCGGUGCCGUCCGGCUCCGAGCGUAGUAAUUCUUAUCGCUCUGGAGGUCCGGUCGUGUGCUCGCCAGCAACCCCCAAUUUUUUUCAGGUUGACCUCGGAUCAGGUAGGGAUACCCGCUGAACUUAAGCAUAUCAAUAAGCGGAGGA